GACGAACGCUGGCGGCGUGCUUAACACAUGCAAGUCGAGCGGUAAGGCCCUUUCGGGGGUACGACGAGCGGCGAACGGGUGAGUAACACGUGGGUGACCUGCCCUCAGCUCUGGGAUAAGCCUGGGAAAGUUGGGUCUAAUACUGGAUAUGACUCCACGGUGCAUGUCGUGGGGUGGAAAGCCUUGUGCGGCUGAGGAUGGGCCCGCGGCCUAUCAGCUUGUUGGUGGGGUGAGGCCUACCAAGGCGACGACGGGUAGCCGGCCUGAGAGGGCGACCGGCCACACUGGGACUGAGACACGGCCCAGACUCCUACGGGAGGCAGCAGUGGGGAAUCUUGCGCAAUGGGCGAAAGCCUGACGCAGCGACGCCGCGUGAGGGAUGACGGCCU
RNAcentral lists this ribosomal RNA (389 nucleotides) under uncultured bacterium. Its description in RNAcentral is "bacterial SSU rRNA". It matches the Rfam family "Bacterial small subunit ribosomal RNA", at positions 28 to 417 of the family's 1533-position model. The record is from RNAcentral.